Long non-coding RNA from Falco peregrinus (peregrine falcon), 630 nucleotides. RefSeq lists it as uncharacterized. NCBI's taxonomy places the organism in Eukaryota, Metazoa, Chordata, Aves, Falconiformes, Falconidae. The transcript is spliced from 3 exons. The record is from RefSeq and is a predicted model, not a curated record.
GGCACUUGAGUAACAGCUCUGCUCCUUCCUCUGGUUACUGCCAGUGCCUCUAAAAACCUUCUCUCUCUCUCUCUUGUCACCUGGUGGGUGAUGGGAGGACUCAAGCCUGUGUUCUUUCUGCUCUUGCAGGGCAGGACAGGAGAUGCUGAAGAGAGGCAUGCCUGGGAGAGGGCUCAGGGUCUGCAGCCAACCCUCAGUCCCCUGAACCCACACUGAACGUGCUGAGUGUGCGCCAGCGCAAAUCAGGUGUAAAGUGCUCCAUGGAGUAAGGAACAAUGGAGUAGAGCUCGGCAUGCCUUUCCUGCCUCCCUGACCUGGUUGCUUCCCGAAGGAAGUGUGGCUGAGUGAGGCACCUGCCCUCAACUGACUGGACAUCAGAUGGACACUGCCGUCUGAGCGCCUAAGCCCUCCGUGGUCCGCACCGUCACCACUCCAGCCCGACCGAGCCAAGGCAAAGUGCACAAAUGAACUUCCUUGGGAGUAAUCCAAGCCUGAAAGUCCUCUGCCCUCCUUCCAGGCAUAAAGGUACCGAAUAUAAACAGGUUUGUUACUUCAAGGGGAAACAGGGGUCUAUGGCAGAGCCUCCCAGCAGCAAAUGCUGAGCAGCAGCAGCCCUUGAUGAGAAGUUUC